This 253-nucleotide ribosomal RNA is filed under the name uncultured bacterium. Its description in RNAcentral is "partial 16S ribosomal RNA". It matches the Rfam family "Bacterial small subunit ribosomal RNA", at positions 524 to 776 of the family's 1533-position model. The record is from RNAcentral.
UACGGAGGAUCCGAGCGUUAUCCGGAUUUAUUGGGUUUAAAGGGUGCGUAGGCGGACUGGUAAGUCAGUUGUGAAAGUUUACGGCUCAACCGUGAAAUUGCAGUUGAUACUAUUGGUCUUGAGUAUACAUGAGGUCGGCGGAAUUUGUGGUGUAGUGGUGAAAUGCGUAGAUAUCACAAAGAACUCCAAUUGCGAAGGCACCUCACUGGGGUAUAACUGACGCUCAUGCACGAAGGUGUGGGGAUCAAACAGG